CGAACGCUGGCGGCGCGCCUAAGUACGAUGCAAGUCGAGCGAGAAGACGUAGCAAUGCGUUUGUAAAGCGGCGAACGGGUGAGGAAUACAUGGGUAACCUACCCUCGAGUGGGGAAUAACUAGCCGAAAGGUUAGCUAAUACCGCAUACGAUUCCUGGACUGCGGUUCGGGAAGGAAAGCGAUACCGUGGGUAUCGCGCUCUUGGAUGGGCUCAUGUCCUAUCAGCUUGUUGGUGAGGUAAUGGCUCACCAAGGCUUCGACGGGUAGCUGGUCUGAGAGGACGAUCAGCCACACUGGCACUGCGACACGGGCCAGACUCCUACGGGAGGCAGCAGUAAGGAAUAUUGCGCAAUGGACGAAAGUCUGACGCAGCGACGCCGCGUGGGGGAAUGAAGGCCUUCGGGUUGUAAACCUCUUUCAGUAGGGAAGAAGCGAAAGUAGACGGUACCGUAAGAAGGAGCACCGGCUAACUAUGCGCCAGCAG
This 484-nucleotide ribosomal RNA is filed under the name uncultured bacterium. RNAcentral's name for it is "bacterial SSU rRNA". It matches the Rfam family "Bacterial small subunit ribosomal RNA", at positions 30 to 514 of the family's 1533-position model. The record is from RNAcentral.